RNAcentral lists this ribosomal RNA (361 nucleotides) under uncultured Levilinea sp. RNAcentral describes it as "bacterial SSU rRNA". It matches the Rfam family "Bacterial small subunit ribosomal RNA", at positions 1012 to 1382 of the family's 1533-position model. The record is from RNAcentral. Lineage: Bacteria; Bacillati; Chloroflexota; Anaerolineae; Anaerolineales; Anaerolineaceae.
GGACCGACCCUUCGGGAGCUUGAACAGGUGCUGCAUGGCUGUCGUCAGCUCGUGUCGUGAGAUGUUCGGUUAAGUCCGCUAACGAGCGCAACCCUCGCUGUGUGUUACAAGUGUCACACGGAACUGCCGGUCAUAAACCGGAGGAAGGUGGGGAUGACGUCAAGUCAGCAUGGCCUUUAUAGUCCUGGGCUACACACACGCUACAAUGGGAAGGGACAAUAGGUUGCGAAACCGCGAGGUGGAGCCAAUCCAAGCAAAACUUCCCUCAGUUCAGAUUGCAGGCUGCAACUCGCCUGCAUGAAGUUGGAGUUGCUAGUAAACGCAGGUCAGCCAUACUGCGUUGAAUACGUUCCCGGGGCUU